GACAGAGGUGGCAAGCGUUGUUCGGAAUUACUGGGCGUAAAGGGCGUGUAGGCGGUCUUCUAAGUCAGACGUGAAAUCCCCCGGCUUAACCUGGGAACUGCGUCUGAUACUGGGAGGCUUGAGUAUGGGAGAGGGAUGUAGAAUUCCAGGUGUAGCGGUGAAAUGCGUAGAUAUCUGGAGGAAUACCGGUGGCGAAGGCGGCAUCCUGGACCAUUACUGACGCUUAAGCGCGAAAGCUAGGGGAGCAAACGGG
This 253-nucleotide ribosomal RNA is filed under the name uncultured Acidobacteriota bacterium. Its description in RNAcentral is "uncultured Acidobacteria bacterium partial 16S ribosomal RNA". It matches the Rfam family "Bacterial small subunit ribosomal RNA", at positions 524 to 776 of the family's 1533-position model. Lineage: Bacteria; Pseudomonadati; Acidobacteriota. The record is from RNAcentral.